UAGAGAAGCUGAACCCGCGAUAGAAAAGCCUCAGGCCUGGGGAGGUCUUGACGGGCUGAGGUGCUAGAGAGAGUUUCGCGUCGUAAAGAAAGCAAGUACCUGCCCAUGUACGGAAGUGUCGGCGGGAUCCUGGAGGCGAUGGGGCGAUGCCUUUUUUAAGGAUGCACGGGGGACCAAGGGAAGGGGAAGUUUCCCCAGAAAGCUCUCUAACUCAGAAUGCCCACCAUCCAUACUCUGGAGGACAAAGACGGCCGUUCACCGGUGUCUGUAAGCAUUUGACACGUGGGAAUACGCAACUGCUGCACUUCAGGGCACCUGCUCAUGGGAUUUAGUUUUACCGUUGUUGUGGAUACCCAUGGAAUGCUAGCUUGUCACCUAGAUUCUAUUAGAACAUCAACAAUGUCAGCCAUCGCAUCUGCCUUUUAGAAUCUCGUUGUGUAGGUGAGGACUCUGAAGGUUAAGAGAUUUGUUCAGAAUUAUUUAGCUGGUUGGGGGCAGAACUUGGACAAGGACCCUUGCAAGGUUGCUAACUCAUAAUUCUAGGAAAAUGCUUCCUUUUCUGCAGCUUCUCUCCCCUCCCCCCCCCAAAAAGACAAUAAAUUCUUUAAAAUCAAGAUUACAGAUUUUAAAAUUAACUUGCAUUAAGACCAACCCCGAGGAAUUUGAUUUUGAUAUAGCAAGCAGUGUCGAUACUAUGAAAAUAACUCAGUGUCUCAAGUCCCUAUUUUACUUCAACCAACUCUUGGAAAAGUUCCAGUUUCAUCCAAACAAGAAAUGAAAACACCAUAUAAUUUAUUAUA
Myotis lucifugus (little brown bat) is the source of this 800-nucleotide long non-coding RNA. RefSeq lists it as uncharacterized. NCBI's taxonomy places the organism in Eukaryota, Metazoa, Chordata, Mammalia, Chiroptera, Vespertilionidae. The transcript has 2 exons. The record is from RefSeq and is a predicted model, not a curated record.